This 468-nucleotide ribosomal RNA is filed under the name uncultured bacterium. RNAcentral's name for it is "partial 16S ribosomal RNA". It matches the Rfam family "Bacterial small subunit ribosomal RNA", at positions 28 to 507 of the family's 1533-position model. The record is from RNAcentral.
GACGAACGCUGGCGGCGUGCUUAACACAUGCAAGUCGAACGGAAAGGCCCUGCUUUUGUGGGGUGCUCGAGUGGCGAACGGGUGAGUAUCACGUGAGUAACCUGCCCUUUACUUUGGGAUAACUUCAGGAAACUGGGGCUAAUACCCGAUAUGAGCUCCUGCUGCAUGGUGGGGGUUGGAAAGUUUCGGCGGUUGGGGAUGGACUCGCGGCUUAUCAGCUUGUUGGUGGGGUAGUGGCUUACCAAGGCUUUGACGGGUAGCCGGCCUGCGAGGGUGACCGGCCACAUUGGGCCUGAGAUACGGGCCAGACUCCUACGGGAGGCAGCAGUGGGGAAUAUUGCACAAUGGGCGGAAGCCUGAUGCAGCAACGCCGCGUGCGGGAUGACGGCCUUCGGGUUGUAAACCGCUUUCGCCUGUGACGAAGCGUGAGUGACGGUAAUGAGUAAAGAAGCACCGGCUAACUACGUG